Cavia aperea (Brazilian guinea pig) is the source of this 135-nucleotide small nucleolar RNA. The record is from Ensembl. NCBI's taxonomy places the organism in Eukaryota, Metazoa, Chordata, Mammalia, Rodentia, Caviidae.
AUGGCCCUAAAUCAAGGCCGGCAGUUUUCUGAAGCAAUUGGCUUCAAGCAGGAACCUAAAAUGGUAGCUUUCUAUGGUCUGUUUCCACUUCAGAACUGAAGAAAUGUAGUGGUCAAUUCAUAGAAAGAAACAACU